UGGGGAAUAUUGCACAAUGGAGGGAACUCUGAUGCAGCAACGCCGCGUGCGGGAUGACGGCCUUCGGGUUGUAAACCGCUUUCAGCCAUGACGAAGCUUUUGUGACGGUAGUGGUAGAAGAAGCACCGGCUAACUACGUGCCAGCAGCCGCGGUGAUACGUAGGGUGCGAGCGUUGUCCGGAAUUAUUGGGCGUAAAGGGUUCGCAGGCGGAAAUGCAAGUCAGGUGUAAAAGGCAGUAGCUUAACUACUGUAAGCAUUUGAAACUGCAUAUCUUGAGAAGAGUAGAGGUAAGUGGAAUUUUUAGUGUAGCGGUGAAAUGCGUAGAUAUUAAAAAGAAUACCGGUGGCGAAGGCGACUUACUGGGCUCAUUCUGACGCUGAGGAACGAAAGCGUGGGUAGCAAACAGG
Molecule: ribosomal RNA, 408 nt
Filed under: Fusobacteriota bacterium
Lineage: Bacteria; Fusobacteriati; Fusobacteriota
Description: Fusobacteria bacterium partial 16S ribosomal RNA
Rfam family: Bacterial small subunit ribosomal RNA
Source: RNAcentral